This 253-nucleotide ribosomal RNA is filed under the name uncultured bacterium. RNAcentral describes it as "partial 16S ribosomal RNA". It matches the Rfam family "Bacterial small subunit ribosomal RNA", at positions 524 to 776 of the family's 1533-position model. The record is from RNAcentral.
UACGUAGGGUGCGAGCGUUGUCCGGAAUUAUUGGGCGUAAAGGGCUCGUAGGCGGUCUGUCGCGUCGGGAGUGAAAACUCAGGGCUUAACCCUGAGCCUGCUUCCGAUACGGGCAGACUAGAGGUAUGCAGGGGAGAACGGAAUUCCUGGUGUAGCGGUGGAAUGCGCAGAUAUCAGGAGGAACACCGAUGGCGAAGGCAGGUCACUGGGCCGCAACUGACGCUGAGGAGCGAAAGCAUGGGGAGCGAACAGG